This 253-nucleotide ribosomal RNA is filed under the name uncultured bacterium. RNAcentral describes it as "partial 16S ribosomal RNA". It matches the Rfam family "Bacterial small subunit ribosomal RNA", at positions 524 to 776 of the family's 1533-position model. The record is from RNAcentral.
UACGUAGGGUGCGAGCGUUGUCCGGAAUUAUUGGGCGUAAAGGGCUCGUAGGCGGUCUGUCGCGUCGGGAGUGAAAACUCAGGGCUUAACCCUGAGCCUGCUUCCGAUACGGGCAGACUAGAGGUAUGCAGGGGAGAACGGAAUUCCUGGUGUAGCGGUGGAAUGCGCAGAUAUCAGGAGGAACACCGGUGGCGAAGGCGGUUCUCUGGGCAUUACCUGACGCUGAGGAGCGAAAGUGUGGGGAGCGAACGGG